RNAcentral lists this small nuclear RNA (106 nucleotides) under Colobus angolensis palliatus. Lineage: Eukaryota; Metazoa; Chordata; Mammalia; Primates; Cercopithecidae. The record is from RNAcentral.
GUGCUCACUUCAGUGGUACAUAUACUAAAAUUGGAACAACACAGAAAUGAUUCACAUGGCCCCUGCACAAGGAUGACACACAAAUUUGUAAGCAUUCCGUAUUUUU